GCGUUUGUGGUUUAGUGGUAAAAUCCAUCGUUGCCAGAGAGCUUCUUCUCAACAACUUCGAUGGGCCCCGGGUUCGAUUCCCGGCGAACGCA
This 92-nucleotide transfer RNA is filed under the name Lachnellula suecica. It matches the Rfam family "tRNA". Rfam says of the family: Transfer RNA (tRNA) molecules are approximately 80 nucleotides in length. Their secondary structure includes four short double-helical elements and three loops (D, anti-codon, and T loops). The record is from Rfam by way of RNAcentral. Lineage: Eukaryota; Fungi; Ascomycota; Leotiomycetes; Helotiales; Lachnaceae.